This 1306-nucleotide ribosomal RNA is filed under the name uncultured bacterium. Its description in RNAcentral is "bacterial SSU rRNA". It matches the Rfam family "Bacterial small subunit ribosomal RNA", at positions 87 to 1381 of the family's 1533-position model. The record is from RNAcentral.
ACUAGCGAGCGGCGGACGGGUGAGUAACACGUGGGUAACCUGCCCAAGAGACUGGGAUAACACCUGGAAACAGAUGCUAAUACCGGAUAACAACACUAGACGCAUGUCUAGAGUUUGAAAGAUGGUUCUGCUAUCACUCUUGGAUGGACCUGCGGUGCAUUAGCUAGUUGGUAAGGUAACGGCUUACCAAGGCAAUGAUGCAUAGCCGAGUUGAGAGACUGAUCGGCCACAUUGGGACUGGGACACGGCCCAAACUCCUACGGGAGGCAGCAGUAGGGAAUCUUCCACAAUGGACGAAAGUCUGAUGGAGCAACGCCGCGUGAGUGAAGAAGGGUUUCGGCUCGUAAAGCUCUGUUGGUAGUGAAGAAAGAUAGAGGUAGUAACUGGCCUUUAUUUGACGGUAAUUACUUAGAAAGUCACGGCUAACUACGUGCCAGCAGCCGCGGUAAUACGUAGGUGGCAAGCGUUGUCCGGAUUUAUUGGGCGUAAAGCGAGUGCAGGCGGUUCAAUAAGUCUGAUGUGAAAGCCUUCGGCUCAACCGGAGAAUUGCAUCAGAAACUGUUGAACUUGAGUGCAGAAGAGGAGAGUGGAACUCCAUGUGUAGCGGUGGAAUGCGUAGAUAUAUGGAAGAACACCAGUGGCGAAGGCGGCUCUCUGGUCUGCAACUGACGCUGAGGCUCGAAAGCAUGGGUAGCGAACAGGAUUAGAUACCCUGGUAGUCCAUGCCGUAAACGAUGAGUGCUAAGUGUUGGGAGGUUUCUGCCUCUCAGUGCUGCAGCUAACGCAUUAAGCACUCCGCCUGGGGAGUACGACCGCAAGGUUGAAACUCAAAGGAAUUGACGGGGGCCCGCACAAGCGGUGGAGCAUGUGGUUUAAUUCGAAGCAACGCGAAGAACCUUACCAGGUCUUGACAUCCAGUGCAAACCUAAGAGAUUAGGUGUUCCCUUCGGGGACGCUGAGACAGGUGGUGCAUGGCUGUCGUCAGCUCGUGUCGUGAGAUGUUGGGUUAAGUCCCGCAACGAGCGCAACCCUUGUCAUUAGUUGCCAUCAUUAAGUUGGGCACUCUAAUGAGACUGCCGGUGACAAACCGGAGGAAGGUGGGGAUGACGUCAAGUCAUCAUGCCCCUUAUGACCUGGGCUACACACGUGCUACAAUGGACGGUACAACGAGAAGCGAACCUGCGAAGGCAAGCGGAUCUCUUAAAGCUGUUCUCAGUUCGGACUGUAGGCUGCAACUCGCCUACACGAAGCUGGAAUCGCUAGUAAUCGCGGAUCAGCACGCCGCGGUGAAUACGUUCCCGGGCCU